AAAUUCAUUAGAAAAGUCGACGAUUUAAACUAAAAUUUGAGGAAAAUGACCAACUUAAAACUUUUAAAAAAUAAGGGACCAAAUUGAAACCUAAAAUAAACAUAACAUAUCAAAUAUGCAAUUAAUUCUAAUUUUUAACAACCUAAAACCUUCUCAAUCUAUAAUCUUUGUUUGAUGACUUGAUGGUGUUUUGAAUUUUAAAAUUUGUUAAGUUGUUUUGAUUGUAUAAAUAAGUAGUUUAAUAUAAUUAUAUACGUCGAUAUGGAUUCAGUUUUCAUUGUAGUCUCUUAUUUAGUUGAGCCUUAAUUAUAUUGGAAACAUGACUAUACUCUUGCAUGUUAUUUCUUGUUUAAAAAUUUCUUCCAAAAUUAAAUAUUGAAAAACAGAGUUUAAAUAUUUCUAUAUUCGAAAUUUAGGUUGAUAAAAUUCCCUCCAAAAAUUUGCCCAGGCUCCC
RNAcentral lists this long non-coding RNA (454 nucleotides) under Trifolium pratense (red clover). RNAcentral's name for it is "long non-coding RNA (TPRA_LNC012418)". Lineage: Eukaryota; Viridiplantae; Streptophyta; Magnoliopsida; Fabales; Fabaceae. The record is from RNAcentral.